GGGACGUUAGCUCAGCCGGUAGAGCAGCGGACUUUUAAUCCGUUGGUCACAAGUUCGAAUCUUGUACGUCCUACCA
RNAcentral lists this transfer RNA (76 nucleotides) under Allobrachymonas sp. Its description in RNAcentral is "tRNA-Lys". It matches the Rfam family "tRNA". From Rfam's summary of the family: Transfer RNA (tRNA) molecules are approximately 80 nucleotides in length. Their secondary structure includes four short double-helical elements and three loops (D, anti-codon, and T loops). Further hydrogen bonds mediate the characteristic L-shaped molecular structure. tRNAs have two regions of fundamental functional importance: the anti-codon, which is responsible for specific mRNA codon recognition, and the 3' end, to which the tRNAs corresponding amino acid is attached (by aminoacyl-tRNA synthetases). tRNAs cope with the degeneracy of the genetic code in two manners: having more than one tRNA (with a specific anti-codon) for a particular amino acid; and 'wobble' base-pairing, i.e. permitting non-standard base-pairing at the 3rd anti-codon position. Lineage: Bacteria; Pseudomonadati; Pseudomonadota; Betaproteobacteria; Burkholderiales; Comamonadaceae. The record is from RNAcentral. RNAcentral also lists the same sequence under 2 other names.